GGGGGAUUAGCUCAGCUGGCUAGAGCGCCUGCCUUGCAAGCAGGAGGUCAUCGGUUCGACUCCGAUAUUCUCCAC
Molecule: transfer RNA, 75 nt
Filed under: compost metagenome
Description: tRNA-Ala
Rfam family: tRNA
About the family: Transfer RNA (tRNA) molecules are approximately 80 nucleotides in length.
Source: RNAcentral